AUUCCAGCUCCAAUAGCGUAUAUUUAAGUUGUUGCGGUUAAAAAGCUCGUAGUUGGAUUUCGGGCGUGGAGGUUCGGUCCGCCGUUUCGGUGUGCACUGUCUUUCUGCGUCUUUCUGUCGGGGACGCGCUUCUGGCCUUAAUUGGCUGGGACGUGGAUUCGACGAGGUUACUUUGAAAAAAUUAGAGUGUUCAAAGCAAGCUAAAGCUCUGAAUACAUUAGCAUGGAAUAACGCGAGAGGACUCGGUCCUUAUUUUGUUGGUCUUCAAGGAUGGAGUAAUGAUUAAGAGGGACAGUUGGGGGCAUUCGUAUUUCAUUGCUAGAGGUGAAAUUCUUGGAUUUAUGAAAGACGAGCUUCUGCGAAAGCAUUUGCCAAGGAUGUUUUCAUUG
This 389-nucleotide ribosomal RNA is filed under the name Pycnococcaceae sp. RNAcentral describes it as "partial small subunit ribosomal RNA". It matches the Rfam family "Eukaryotic small subunit ribosomal RNA", at positions 582 to 975 of the family's 1831-position model. Lineage: Eukaryota; Viridiplantae; Chlorophyta; Pseudoscourfieldiophyceae; Pseudoscourfieldiales; Pycnococcaceae. The record is from RNAcentral.